AACGAACGCUGGCGGCAUGCCUAACACAUGCCAGUCGAACGAUGCCUUCGGGCAUAGUGGCGCACGGGUGCGUAACGCGUGGGAAUCUGCCUUUCGGUUCGGGAUAACUCAGGGAAACUUGAGCUAAUACCGGAUAACGUCGCAAGACCAAAGAUUUAUCACCGAAAGAUGAGCCCGCGUAGGAUUAGCUAGUUGGUGAGGUAAAGGCUCACCAAGGCGACGAUCCUUAGCUGGUCUGAGAGGAUGAUCAGCCACACUGGGACUGAGACACGGCCCAGACUCCUACGGGAGGCAGCAGUGGGGAAUAUUGGACAAUGGGCGAAAGCCUGAUCCAGCAAUGCCGCGUGAGUGAUGAAGGCCUUAGGGUUGUAAAGCUCUUUUACCCGGGAAGAUAAUGACGGUACCGGGAGAAUAAGCCCCGGCUAACUCCGUG
This 433-nucleotide ribosomal RNA is filed under the name uncultured bacterium. RNAcentral describes it as "partial 16S ribosomal RNA". It matches the Rfam family "Bacterial small subunit ribosomal RNA", at positions 29 to 507 of the family's 1533-position model. The record is from RNAcentral.